GACGAACGCUGGCGGCGUGCUUAACACAUGCAAGUCGAACGGAGAGGCCCUGCUUUUGUGGGGUGCUCGAGUGGCGAACGGGUGAGUAACACGUGAGUAACCUGCCCUUGACUUUGGGAUAACUUCAGGAAACUGGGGCUAAUACCGGAUAGGAGCUCCUGCUGCAUGGUGGGGGUUGGAAAGUUUCGGCGGUUGGGGAUGGACUCGCGGCUUAUCAGCUUGUUGGUGGGGUAGUGGCUUACCAAGGCUUUGACGGGUAGCCGGCCUGAGAGGGUGACCGGCCACAUUGGGACUGAGAUACGGCCCAAACUCCUACGGGAGGCAGCAGUGGGGAAUAUUGCACAAUGGGCGGAAGCCUGAUGCAGCAACGCCGCGUGCGGGAUGACGGCCUUCGGGUUGUAAACCGCUUUCGCCUGUGACGAAGCGUGAGUGACGGUAAUGGGUAAAGAAGCACCGGCUAACUACGUG
Molecule: ribosomal RNA, 468 nt
Filed under: uncultured bacterium
Lineage: Bacteria
Description: partial 16S ribosomal RNA
Rfam family: Bacterial small subunit ribosomal RNA
Source: RNAcentral